Long non-coding RNA from Drosophila pseudoobscura, 301 nucleotides. RefSeq lists it as uncharacterized. Lineage: Eukaryota; Metazoa; Arthropoda; Insecta; Diptera; Drosophilidae. The record is from RefSeq and is a predicted model, not a curated record. The transcript is spliced from 2 exons.
CGUGACGGUGGAUCCCUGGGAUGGCUGUGACUGUUGUUGUUGUUGAUGUGGCUGUUGCAACUGUUGUUGUUGCUGUUGUUGUUGCUGCUGUUGUUGCUGUUGUUGUUGCUGCUGUUGUCGACGACCACGCCCACAGGCCCAUAAUUCAAGUCUAUCUGGAGAGAGAAGUAAUAAAAACAGAAUGAUAUAAAACUGGUUGGCUAAGGGGGAUUACGAGAGUUCAAUGCAGUCGUAGAUGAUGGAGGGGAACUACAACAUAUCGUAGUACUUAUGAGGCGUAAUUAUAAGUUAAUUGGUCUAA